This 237-nucleotide unclassified non-coding RNA is filed under the name Glomus sp. RNAcentral's name for it is "partial contains 5.8S ribosomal RNA and internal transcribed spacer 2". The stretch from base 1 to 65 matches the Rfam family "5.8S ribosomal RNA", at positions 84 to 154 of the family's 154-position model. The record is from RNAcentral. Lineage: Eukaryota; Fungi; Glomeromycota; Glomeromycetes; Glomerales; Glomeraceae.
GUGAAUCAUCGAAUUUUUGAACGCAAAUUGCACUCUCUUCGGAGAGUAUGCCUGUUUGAGGGUCAGCCUAAAAAAAAACGACAUAGUUGUUGUUUCGCGGUGUCAUUCGUCGGAAAUUGGGUAAUCUUAAACUUUUGGGUUUUAAGCGGCUUAAAAUUUUAUUUACGAUUUCAUGAACGUUUCUAAGAUUUUACUCUUUAUAUGUUUAAGGUUUCGAUUUUUAUUAGAAGUGGUCGU